Molecule: ribosomal RNA, 439 nt
Filed under: uncultured bacterium
Lineage: Bacteria
Description: partial 16S ribosomal RNA
Rfam family: Bacterial small subunit ribosomal RNA
Source: RNAcentral
CCUACGGGCGGCAGCAGUGAGGAAUAUUGCACAAUGGGCGCAAGCCUGAUCCAGCAACGCCGCGUGAGGGAUGACGGCCUUCCGGUCUUUAAACUCUUUCCUCAAGGAAGAUACUGGCGGUACUUGAGGAGGAAGCCCCAGCUAACUGCGUGACAGCAGCCGCUGUCAUACGUCGGGGUGUAGCGUUAUCCGGAAUUACUGGGCGUAAAGGGUGCGUAGGUGGUUUAUUAAGUCAGUGGUGAAAGGCUGAGGCUCAACCGUAGCAAGCCAUUGAACCUGGGGAACUUGAGUGGAGGAGAGGAGAGUGGAAUUCGUGGUGUAGCGGUGAAAUGCGUAGAUAUCAGGCGGAACCCCAGUUGCGAAGGCGGCUCUCGGGACUGCAACUGACGCUGAGGCACGAAAGCGUGGGGAGCAAACAGGAGUAGAUACCCGAGUAGUC